Molecule: ribosomal RNA, 122 nt
Filed under: uncultured Gemmatimonadota bacterium
Lineage: Bacteria; Pseudomonadati; Gemmatimonadota
Source: RNAcentral
ACGGCCGGUGGCUAUGGCGUGGGGGAUCACCCGAUCCCAUCCCGAACUCGGAAGUUAAGCCCCACUCGCGCGGAUGGUACUGCCGGGGCCACCCGGUGGGAGAGUACGGCGCUGCCGGCCUA